This 40-nucleotide ribosomal RNA is filed under the name Corymbia zygophylla. Its description in RNAcentral is "partial 26S ribosomal RNA". Lineage: Eukaryota; Viridiplantae; Streptophyta; Magnoliopsida; Myrtales; Myrtaceae. The record is from RNAcentral.
GCGACCCCAGGUCAAGCGGGGCUACCCGCUGAGUUUAAGC